This is a transfer RNA of 86 nucleotides. It matches the Rfam family "tRNA". From Rfam's summary of the family: Transfer RNA (tRNA) molecules are approximately 80 nucleotides in length. Their secondary structure includes four short double-helical elements and three loops (D, anti-codon, and T loops). Further hydrogen bonds mediate the characteristic L-shaped molecular structure. tRNAs have two regions of fundamental functional importance: the anti-codon, which is responsible for specific mRNA codon recognition, and the 3' end, to which the tRNAs corresponding amino acid is attached (by aminoacyl-tRNA synthetases). tRNAs cope with the degeneracy of the genetic code in two manners: having more than one tRNA (with a specific anti-codon) for a particular amino acid; and 'wobble' base-pairing, i.e. permitting non-standard base-pairing at the 3rd anti-codon position. The record is from Rfam.
GGGGAUGUAUUUCAGUGGUAGAAUGCACGCUUUGCAUCAAAUUGCAGAUCUGCGUGAGGUCCGGAGUUCAAUCCUCCGCGUCUCCA